UCCGGCUUAUCACCGGCAGUCCCUCUAGAGUGCCCAACUCAAUGCUGGCAACUAAAGGCGAGGGUUGCGCUCGUUGCGGGACUUAACCCAACAUCUCACGACACGAGCUGACGACAGCCAUGCAGCACCUGUCUCUGGGUUCCCGAAGGCACCCCCGCAUCUCUGCAGGGUUCCCAGGAUGUCAAGGCCAGGUAAGGUUCUUCGCGUUGCAUCGAAUUAAACCACAUGCUCCACCGCUUGUGCGGGCCCCCGUCAAUUCAUUUGAGUUUUAGCCUUGCGGCCGUACUCCCCAGGCGGUCGACUUAUCGCGUUAACUGCGCCACUAAGCCCUUAAAUGAGCCCAACGGCUAGUCGACAUCGUUUAGGGCGUGGACUAC
Molecule: unclassified non-coding RNA, 377 nt
Filed under: uncultured Gammaproteobacteria bacterium
Lineage: Bacteria; Pseudomonadati; Pseudomonadota; Gammaproteobacteria
Description: contains 16S-23S intergenic spacer region
Source: RNAcentral